Molecule: ribosomal RNA, 502 nt
Filed under: Tremella mesenterica
Lineage: Eukaryota; Fungi; Basidiomycota; Tremellomycetes; Tremellales; Tremellaceae
Description: eukaryotic LSU rRNA
Rfam family: 5.8S ribosomal RNA (bases 149-303)
Source: RNAcentral
CUUGGUCAUUUAGAGGAAGUAAAAGUCAUAACAAGGUUUCCGUAGGUGAACCUGCGGAAGGAUCAAUGGAGAUCGCCGAAAGGCAUCACACGCACAGUGCACCCUUGCAGACAUUUAGGUCGAGAACGUAUGCAUCUUAAAAUGAAACAACUUUCAACAACGGAUCUCUUGGCUCUCGCAUCGAUGAAGGACGCAGCGAAAUGCGAUAAGUAAUGUGAAUUGCAGUAUUCAGUGAAUCAUCGAACCUUUGAACGCACCUUGCGCCCCUUGGAAAUUCCGUCGGGCAUGCCUGUCUGAGUGUCAUGUGGACUUCGACCCCGAGGGUUAUCCCCCUGGGGCCGGACUUGGGCGCCGCCUCACCCGGCCCGCCUCAAAUGCAUCAGCGGGACGCGACGUCAUAAGCACCGUCCGUGUCCCGCCCACAGAACACCCAUCUUGUAACUCUGACCUCAGAUCAGGUAGGACUACCCGCUGAACUUAAGCAUAUCAAUAAGCGGAGGAA